Molecule: ribosomal RNA, 484 nt
Filed under: uncultured bacterium
Lineage: Bacteria
Description: partial 16S ribosomal RNA
Rfam family: Bacterial small subunit ribosomal RNA
Source: RNAcentral
AUUGAACGCUGGCGGCAGGCCUAACACAUGCAAGUCGAGCGGAUGAAGGGAGCUUGCUCCUGGAUUCAGCGGCGGACGGGUGAGUAAUGCCUAGGAAUCUGCCUGGUAGUGGGGGAUAACGUCCGGAAACGGGCGAUAAUACCGCAUAAGUCCUGAGGGAGUAAGGGGGGGAUCUUCGGACCUUACGCUAUCAGAUGAGCCUAGGUCGGAUUAGCUAGUUGGUGGGGUAAAGGCCUACCAAGGCGACGAUCCGUAACUGGUCUGAGAGGAUGAUCAGUCACACUGGAACUGAGACACGGUCCAGACUCCUACGGGAGGCAGCAGUGGGGAAUAUUGGACAAUGGGCGAAAGCCUGAUCCAGCCAUGCCGCGUGUGUGAAGAAGGUCUUCGGAUUGUAAAGCACUUUAAGUUGGGAGGAAGAGCAGUAAGUUAAUACCUUGCUGUUUUGACGUUACCAACAGAAUAAGCACCGGCUAACUUCGUG